UGAAGUGUAAUCCUUGUUAACAUAGAAUCCUCAGAAUAUGCAACAUUCUCGGCAUUCAUCUCUAUCACAUAUUAGCCAUGUUCUCUUCCACUACAAGUGUGAAGUGCAUCGUGUGUGCUAGCAUGCUCUCUAGUGAAACAAAACAAAGACUAUCAAACUUCAACAGAGUCCUCACUAUGAGCCGUUAAUCAGAAUCAAGCUUAAACACUUCUUUACUAAAGAGUCAACUACAAUUUAGGGUCACUAAAGAAUUCCUAUGCCUUUCCUAUUUUUUUCUAUUUUUUUUUCUUUUUUU
This 295-nucleotide long non-coding RNA is filed under the name Daucus carota (carrot). RNAcentral describes it as "long non-coding RNA (DCAR_LNC000967)". Lineage: Eukaryota; Viridiplantae; Streptophyta; Magnoliopsida; Apiales; Apiaceae. The record is from RNAcentral.